AUGCCCUGCCAUGGGAAGAAGCACGUCCCUUCAAAUCUUGAUGAUAAUAUGGAGUUGUGGAAGAAACUGAAAGACCGUAAUGACACCAAAAUAACUUUCAAAGGAUUGCUAGCCAAGAUGAAAGUCGACAGCACACCAAAUUUUUUUCAGGCCAUUUGUGUUGUACACCAUAGGCAAAUAUGUAUGCCGAACAAAAAAGGAGUAUGUGGAUAA
This 213-nucleotide ribosomal RNA is filed under the name Triticum aestivum (bread wheat). RNAcentral describes it as "partial small subunit ribosomal RNA". Lineage: Eukaryota; Viridiplantae; Streptophyta; Magnoliopsida; Poales; Poaceae. The record is from RNAcentral.